UAAAUCUUAAAUAAAUCCUAAUUAAAUCCUAUUUUAAUCUUAAUUUAAAUCUUAAUGGAUCUUAAUUAAAUCUUAGGUCAAAUCUAAAUUAAAUCCUAAAUCAUAAAUCCUAAAUCAAACCUUAGAAAAAUCCUAAGCCUUAAUCAAAUCCUAAAUCCUAAGCCUUAAAUAAAUCCUAAAUCUUAAAUCAAAUCCUAGAAAAAUCCUAAAUCCUAAAUCAAAUCCUAACCAAUCCUAAGGUAGAUUAGAAUUUUAAUAUCUAUUGAUUAAAUCAUUGAUCUUACUUAAAAUUUUCUAUACCUCUUAAUUUUUUAAUUAAAAACUAGUAAAAUAAGUUUGGAGAUAAUUGCACUUAUCAAAUAGAAGAAAAAU
This 372-nucleotide long non-coding RNA is filed under the name Physcomitrium patens. RNAcentral describes it as "long non-coding RNA (PPAT_LNC002641)". The record is from RNAcentral. Lineage: Eukaryota; Viridiplantae; Streptophyta; Bryopsida; Funariales; Funariaceae.